Molecule: unclassified non-coding RNA, 407 nt
Filed under: Hevea brasiliensis (rubber tree)
Lineage: Eukaryota; Viridiplantae; Streptophyta; Magnoliopsida; Malpighiales; Euphorbiaceae
Source: RNAcentral
GGGAAAUCAAGUCCUAUAGCAAAACUAUUUCUUUUCCGUAUCCAAGAUGGAAAUUAUUCUAUAAGUUCUAUAUUCGAUCUUUGCUUUAAUUUUCAAUCUUGCAUAGAAAACUCUCUUCCACUGUUACAUUACUCCACCAUCGUUACUAUCCACAAACAGCUCUAGCCAUAAUCUUCUUUGCUUCCUCUUGUAUAUUGAUCAUUCCUUAGUUUGCUUUUCAUGUCUACUAUGGAUAUCUCCAUGAAAACAAUCAACCCCUCAAAACCCUUUUACGCAGAAACACAACAAAACAGAAAAUCCUUUCAAGAUCAACCCAGAAAGCCCUUACAAAGGAUUUGCAAGUUCUGGGUAAAGGGUAAAUGUGCUUAUAAGAAUAAUUGUAAGUUUCUUCAUUCUUGGUUCCAAUC